This 301-nucleotide ribosomal RNA is filed under the name uncultured bacterium. Its description in RNAcentral is "partial 16S ribosomal RNA". It matches the Rfam family "Bacterial small subunit ribosomal RNA", at positions 509 to 807 of the family's 1533-position model. The record is from RNAcentral.
CAGCAGCCACGGGAAUACGGAGGGAGCUAGCGUUGUUCGGAAUUACUGGGCGUAAAGCGUGCGUAGGUGGUGGUUUAAGUCCGUUGUGAAAGCCCUGGGCUCAACCUGGGAAUUGCAGUGGAUACUGGGUCACUAGAGUGUGGUAGAGGAUAGUGGAAUUUCCGGUGUAGCAGUGAAAUGCGUAGAGAUCGGAAGGAACAUCUGUGGCGAAGGCGACUAUCUGGGCCAACACUGACACUGAGGCACGAAAGCGUGGGGAGCAAACAGGAUUAGAUACCCGAGUAGUCCCUGUCUCUUAUAC